AAUGCGCAGGCAAUCCGCGGCAGCUGCUCUCCAAAUGUCAGCGACAGCCCGUCAACAGAGCUUGAAAACCACCAAUCUGAAGGACUUUGUGCUGUACCUUUCUCGCCCACAUUUUCCCCAAGCACUCUCAGGAACCUGGCAACAGGUAACGUGGCAACUUCUGCUUUACAAAAUGGCAAGUGGCAUAAUUUCAGAGAACAAUUUUUUUUUUGUAAGUCAGCUGUAACUCCCUCACCACCCCCACACCCAUCCCCCUCCUUCCCAACUAAAAGUCUGAGAAAACAAAGUACUUUAGGGCUGGCAACCCUGCUCUCCAGUGUCCCCUGGUGGCCAAGCUUUGGAACAUCACCGAUGUUACCUUGAAUUCUGCUGCUCUGCUCCAAGCUCCCAACUGCAGUUCCCCACUACCACAAAUAAUGCAGUUGCAUUUCUGACACUUGGGGAAAUUGCAGGGGUCAGCACACCUGGAGUGCAGUGAGUGAGCCUUGCUCUGGGGAAACUACCUUCAGGAUCAUGGUUAUCUCCUCUGCCAGGCCUUCAUCAUGGGAAGAGACUUCAAUUGCCUCAGGAAGAGAAGAGUUCCAGCUUAAACCAAAGAAAUCAUUGGUCAUAUUCUAAGUAGCCUUUUGAAAUUAAUAAAGAAGUGUGCAUACCACUCACCCUUUAAGAGUGAGUAGGAGCAUGGGGUCCUUCUCAUGGAACAGAUGUUGGACACAUUGUAAUAGGUGGAAUAAUGGCCCCACAAAGAUAGGCGGGUCAGAGUCAGAACAAUGCAGAAUAAGAAAGACUUGAUCAGCCAUUGCUGGCUUUGAAGACGGAUGAAGUGGCCACAAGCCAAGGAAUGUGUGCAGCCUCUAAGAGCCAAAAAAACAAAAUAGAUUCUUCCUUAGAGUCUCUGGAAGCAAUGUAGAAGCCCUGUCAACAGGAUUUUAGCCAAGGGAAGCCCAUGCUAUAGUUCUA
Molecule: long non-coding RNA, 960 nt
Organism: Phyllostomus hastatus (greater spear-nosed bat)
Lineage: Eukaryota; Metazoa; Chordata; Mammalia; Chiroptera; Phyllostomidae
Exons: 3
Source: RefSeq, a predicted model, not a curated record